AUAUGAGUUUGAUCCUGGCUCAGGAUGAACGCUAAUAGUAUGCUUUACACAUGCAAGUUAAAUAAUGAAAACAUUAUAGCAAACGGGUGAGGAAUUUAUAAAGAUAUUUUUACCUUUUAGUCUCCAAUAAAAAUAAUUUAUAUUUUUAUGAAAAAUAUAAAAAUAAAAUAUGGGAUAUAAAAUUUUACAUUUUUAAAGAUAAUAUAUAAAAAAAACAUAUAUAAUUCGCUAAAAGAUAACUUUAUAAAAAAUUAGGUUGUUGGUGAUGAUUAGAAGCUCACCAAGCCUUUGAUUUUUAGUUGAUCUGAGAGGAUGAUCAGCCACACUGGAACUGAGAAAGGUCCAGGCCAUUUUUGGCCAGCAGUGAGGAAUAUUGGACAAUGAACGAAAGUUUGAUCCAGCAAUACUAUAUGAACGAUGACAGCUGAUUAUUAGAGUUUAUUUAGCAAAUUACUUUAAGUAGGAGUUGCUAAUAAACUCUGGUUGUAAAAAUUCUUUCAUUAAAGAAGAUAAUGCCAUUAUUUAAAGAAGAUUUAGUCCCGGCUAAUCUCGUGCCAGCAGCCGCGGUAAUACGGGAGGGGCAAGCGUUAUCCAAAAU
This 598-nucleotide ribosomal RNA is filed under the name Odontella aurita. RNAcentral describes it as "partial Bacterial small subunit ribosomal RNA". It matches the Rfam family "Bacterial small subunit ribosomal RNA", at positions 1 to 551 of the family's 1533-position model. The record is from RNAcentral. Lineage: Eukaryota; Bacillariophyta; Thalassiosirophyceae; Eupodiscales; Odontellaceae.